CCUACGGGUGGCAGCAGUGGGGAAUCUUGCACAAUGGGGGAAACCCUGAUGCAGCGACGCCGCGUGAAGGAAGAAGUAUUUCGGUAUGUAAACUUCUAUUAGCAGGGAAGAAAAUGACGGUACCUGACUAAGAAGCCUCGGCUAACUACGUGCCAGCAGCCGCGGUCAUACGUAGGGGGCAAGCGUUAUCCGGAUUUACUGGGUGUAAAGGGAGCGGUGGGGGUUAAGCAAGAUAGAAGUGAAAGCCUGGGGCUAAACUCCGGGACUGCUUUUGAAACUGUUGAACUAGAUUGCAGGAGAGGUAACUGGAAUUCCUAGUGUAGCGGUGAAAUGCGUAGAUAUCACGAAGAACUCCGAUUGCGAAGGCAGCUUACUAAACUGCCACUGACAUUGAUGCUCGAAAGUGUAGGUAGCAAACAGGAUUAGAUACCCUGGUAGUC
RNAcentral lists this ribosomal RNA (440 nucleotides) under uncultured bacterium. RNAcentral describes it as "partial 16S ribosomal RNA". It matches the Rfam family "Bacterial small subunit ribosomal RNA", at positions 338 to 795 of the family's 1533-position model. The record is from RNAcentral.